UACGAAGGGUGCAAGCGUUAAUCGGAAUUAUUGGGCGUAAAGCGCACGUAGGCGGUAUCGUAAGUCCGAUGUGAAAGCCCCAGGCUCAACCUGGGAAGUGCAUUGGAUACUGCGGAACUUGAAUCUGGAAGAGGGUCGCGGAAUUCCCGGUGUAGAGGUGAAAUUCGUAGAUAUCGGGAGGAACACCAGUGGCGAAGGCGGCGACCUGGGCCAAGAUUGACGCUGAGGUGCGAAAGCGUGGGGAGCAAACAGGAUUAGAAACCCUGGUAGU
RNAcentral lists this ribosomal RNA (271 nucleotides) under uncultured bacterium. RNAcentral's name for it is "partial 16S ribosomal RNA". It matches the Rfam family "Bacterial small subunit ribosomal RNA", at positions 524 to 794 of the family's 1533-position model. The record is from RNAcentral.